AAUAGGAGGUCUUGGAAAGAAGAGAGAAAGAAAGAAAGAUAGAUAUAUAUAUAUAUAUAGAGAAAGAGAGAGAGAGAGAAAGAGAUAGAUAGAGAGAUAGAGAGAGAUAGAGAGAGUUGCGUCUGUUUUCUUUAGGACGGACAACAGGAGGAGGAUAUAACAGCGGGCCAGAUUUUGUUUUCGAAGUGAUCUGCGCAGUCACUUCCUGCCAAUAUUCGAAAAAUUGCUAGACGAUAGUACGAGAAAUAAUAGUAUGUCAUCUUUGGCAAUUGAACGAAGGAAAUGAAUGAAUUGUUAUAAAUUUUUCAUUCGAAUUCGAUUUAUAUAUCUAUGUAAACGUAAAAUUUUUUAAUCUUUCAUACAUUCGAAAGUAAGUUUUAGAGAGGGAUUGGGUAAUAUAUAAUCUCCACUUGGUGUGGAGAACUCGAUGAGGAGUCUCGCUUGGAAAUGCAACGAAAUCGUUGGACGAACGAGACCGGCGGCGGUGAUCGAUUCGCUGCGGGUGGCCUCCAAGAGAGAAAGAGAAAGAGAAAAAGAGAGAGAGAGAGAGAAAGCAGAAGAAGAAGAAGAAGAAGAAGAGAAACGAACUCGUCAAGCAGAAGGAAGAUGGAAGAAGACGAGUGUCGAGACGAGUUGCUCGUGGAAGAAGGAAAUAACAAAAGAAGCAGUAACAGCAACAGCAACAGCAACAGCAACGGCAGCACAAGUGUGCGUUACUCGGUCCGACGCCCACGGGAUUGUUCCACUAUUAUGAACCCUGGCAGAAAGGACCGUAGGACAAAGGAAAGAAGAUAUUCAUCGAUUCGUUCAAAAGUAUUACGUCGAGUCGAACGAUUACGCUUCUCUUUCGAAGAUUGAAAAAGAAGUUCCUCAUCGAAAUUGUAUUACCUAUUAAGAAAGAAGGAAAGAGAAAGAAGAAAAAGACGAAGACGAAGAUGAAGACGAAGACGAAGACGAAGACGAAGACGAAGACGAAGACGAAGACGAAGAAGGGUCCAUCAAGAAGGUGAGAAGCAAUCGUAGAUUUUAUCGCUUCGCUUCGAGACGUCAGUGCGUUUUCUGCGAUAUUCUUUAGCGAGCUACGACACGGCAUCGAUCCGCUCUAGCCCCACCCCUGAAUUCUCUCUCUCUCUCUCUCUUUCUCUUCUUCCUUUCUCUCGUUCUUCACCCUCUUCCCUCUUCGGUUCUCUUCUACCGAAUGCUCCCUCGUAGAAUACUCUCUGCCCUCGUACCUUAACCAUUCAAUCUCUAAAUCACAAUAAUAUCGCGCUGAUGCACGGCAGCGCGACUCCGCAUUAACAUAGGAUACAAAUAUGUAAUCCCAGACAUGGCUGGCGGCCAUCUGAUAUGUUCAUUAUAUGUAUGUAUAUAUGUAUGUCUGUCUGUAUGUAUGUAUGUAUGUAUGUAUGUAUGUAUAUAUAUAUAACGUAGAGAAGAGAACGCGUGGGUACAUCGUAUCACGGCAUUCUGUUUUCUUUUCUUCUGUCUCGCUUGUAUAACUUGAUGGUAACGAGAGAUGAAGAGAAAGAUGUAGAGAAAGAGAGAUAAAGAGGGAGAUAGAUAAAUAGAUAGAUAGAUAGACAGAGAAAGAAAGAGAGAGAGAGAGAGAGAAAGAGAGAGAUAAAAAGAGAUAAUCGAAAAUAGGAAUAAUUUUAAAUUUAUUCGUUGCAAAAGGAAAAUGAUCGGCACGCGACUCGAUCUCGUAAGACGACUUCGAUCUUCGAAAAGGACGAAAGAACAUUUGGAGGAUUGAUCGUUGAGCGUGGGCACCGAGUCAAUCGUUCGUCCUUUCCAUCUUUCAUUUCCCCCACCUAAUGUUCAUUGUUAUUAUUUCUCUUUCGUCGUUGAAAACUCUCUCUCUCUCUCUCUCUCUCUCUCUCUCUCUUUCUGUUACGUAUUUAAAGAUAUCGGACGAUCGAACGAUAAGAGAACGGUCGCUUAGAGGACGAUGAGUUUUCUUGCGUCGAUCGAAGCAACGCGAAAAAAAUCGACUCGCAAAGGAAUGCUUUUAAAAUGCUAAAAGGAAGAUAUACCUACCUACCUACCUACCUACCUACCUAUCUACCUACCUACCAACCAACCUACCGAAGGGUGUGCCUUGCUUCGUUCCAACGAUGACGAAGAGAGUGACGCGUCUUGUCCAAUGGCACGUCAGUCGUUUCUUUUGCACUCGAAAUGGUUACCUUCGUGAAACCGCGACGACUUCGUCGGGACGAAACAGAACAAGACAUAAGCGAUAAAAGUCAGCAUUUUGUGGCGAGACCAUAAGAUAUUUAACCUUUAACUAAAAGUUCUCUUUUGAUUAUUUCC
Molecule: long non-coding RNA, 2310 nt
Organism: Vespa velutina
Lineage: Eukaryota; Metazoa; Arthropoda; Insecta; Hymenoptera; Vespidae
Exons: 3
Source: RefSeq, a predicted model, not a curated record